This 77-nucleotide transfer RNA is filed under the name Myroides odoratus CIP 103059. RNAcentral's name for it is "tRNA-Asp". It matches the Rfam family "tRNA". Rfam says of the family: Transfer RNA (tRNA) molecules are approximately 80 nucleotides in length. Their secondary structure includes four short double-helical elements and three loops (D, anti-codon, and T loops). The record is from RNAcentral. Lineage: Bacteria; Pseudomonadati; Bacteroidota; Flavobacteriia; Flavobacteriales; Flavobacteriaceae. RNAcentral also lists the same sequence under 1 other name.
AGUCUAUUAGCUCAGUUGGCUAGAGUGCUUGCUUGUCACGCAAGAGGUCGCGAGUUCGAAUCUCGUAUAGACUGCAA